RNAcentral lists this ribosomal RNA (495 nucleotides) under uncultured bacterium. RNAcentral's name for it is "partial 16S ribosomal RNA". It matches the Rfam family "Bacterial small subunit ribosomal RNA", at positions 28 to 507 of the family's 1533-position model. The record is from RNAcentral.
GACGAACGCUGGCGGCGUGCCUAAUACAUGCAAGUAGAACGCUGAAGGAGGAGCUUGCUUCUCCGGAUGAGUUGCGAACGGGUGAGUAACGCGUAGGUAACCUGCCUGGUAGCGGGGGAUAACUAUUGGAAACGAUAGCUAAUACCGCAUAACAGUAGAUGUUGCAUGACAUUUGCUUAAAAGGUGCAAUUGCAUCACUACCAGAUGGACCUGCGUUGUAUUAGCUAGUUGGUGAGGUAACGGCUCACCAGGGCGACGAUACAUAGCCGACCUGAGAGGGGGAUCGGCCACACUGGGACUGAGACACGGCCCAGACUCCUACGGGAGGCAGCAGUAGGGAAUCUUCGGCAAUGGACGGAAGUCUGACCGAGCAACGCCGCGUGAGUGAAGAAGGUUUUCGGAUCGUAAAGCUCUGUUGUAAGAGAAGAACGAGUGUGAGAGUGGAAAGUUCACACUGUGACGGUAUCUUACCAGAAAGGGACGGCUAACUACGUG